CCUACGGGAGGCAGCAGUGGGGAAUUUUGGACAAUGGGCGAAAGCCUGAUCCAGCCAUACCGCGUGCGGGAAGAAGGCCUUCGGGUUGUAAACCGCUUUUGUCAGGGAAGAAAUACUUCGGGCUAAUACCCUGGGGUGAUGACGGUACCUGAAGAAUAAGCACCGGCUAACUACGUGCCAGCAGCCGCGGUAAUACGUAGGGUGCAAGCGUUAAUCGGAAUUACUGGGCGUAAAGCGUGCGCAGGCGGUUCUAUAAGACAGAUGUGAAAUCCCCGGGCUCAACCUGGGAACUGCAUUUGUGACUGUAGAGCUAGAGUACGGUAGAGGGGGAUGGAAUUCCGCGUGUAGCAGUGAAAUGCGUAGAUAUGCGGAGGAACACCGAUGGCGAAGGCAAUCCCCUGGACCUGUACUGACGCUCAUGCACGAAAGCGUGGGGAGCAAACAGGAUUAGAUACCCUGGUAGUCCACGCCCUAAACGAUGUCAACUGGUUGUUGGGAGGGUUUCUUCUCAGUAACGAAGCUAACGCGUGAAGUUGACCGCCUGGGGAGUACGGCCGCAAGGUUGAAACUCAAAUGAAUUGACGG
This 585-nucleotide ribosomal RNA is filed under the name uncultured bacterium. RNAcentral's name for it is "bacterial SSU rRNA". It matches the Rfam family "Bacterial small subunit ribosomal RNA", at positions 338 to 916 of the family's 1533-position model. The record is from RNAcentral.